Molecule: ribosomal RNA, 433 nt
Filed under: uncultured bacterium
Lineage: Bacteria
Description: partial 16S ribosomal RNA
Rfam family: Bacterial small subunit ribosomal RNA
Source: RNAcentral
AGCGAACGCUGGCGGCAGGCCUAACACAUGCAAGUCGAACGAACUCUUCGGAGUUAGUGGCGGACGGGUGAGUAACACGUGGGAACGUGCCUUUAGGUUCGGAAUAACUCAGGGAAACUUGAGCUAAUACCGGAUGUGCCCUUCGGGGGAAAGAUGUAUCGCCUUUAGAGCGGCCCGCGUCUGAUUCGCUGGUUGGUGAGGUAAAGGCUCACCAAGGCGACGAUCAGUAGCUGGUCUGAGAGGAUGAUCAGCCACAUUGGCAAUGAGACACGGCCCAAACUCCUACGGGAGGCAGCAGUGGGGAAUCUUGCGCAAUGGGCGAAAGCCUGACGCAGCCAUGCCGGGUGAAUGAUGAAGGGCUUAGGAUUGUAAAAUUCUUUCACCGGGGACGAUAAUGACGGUACCCGGAGAAGAAGCCCCGGCUAACUUCGUG